Molecule: long non-coding RNA, 122 nt
Organism: Onychomys torridus (southern grasshopper mouse)
Lineage: Eukaryota; Metazoa; Chordata; Mammalia; Rodentia; Cricetidae
Exons: 3
Source: RefSeq, a predicted model, not a curated record
ACAGCCAUCGAAUAAAAGAAUGGAAAUCUACCUGACCGAGAUGCAUCAGGAGUUGGAAAAAAGUAUAAAUAGAAAACUUAAUGAAGCUGCAGCUGAACUUGAAUCUGAGUUCUGCAGAGUUU